Molecule: long non-coding RNA, 474 nt
Filed under: Homo sapiens (human)
Lineage: Eukaryota; Metazoa; Chordata; Mammalia; Primates; Hominidae
Description: non-protein coding lnc-ZEB2-1:13
Source: RNAcentral
AUCGAGCCUGCGUGCUGCCGAAGCAGGGCGCCGAGUCCAUGCGAACUGCCAUCUGAUCCGCUCUUAUCAAUGAAGCAGCCGAUCAUGGCGGAUGGCCCCCGGUGCAAGAGGCGCAAACAAGCCAAUCCCAGGAGGAAAAACGCAAAGACAAACCACCUAAAUAGAGAGAUUAAUUCCACAUCAGUGCAACAUUAAAAGGGAGAGAGGAUGCCAAGAAUCCCAUUAAUUUGGGAUAUAAGUGUCUGAAAUUUCCUCAAAACAUUUACGCCAAGGAAUACCAACAAGACAAUAUCAAGCAGCUCUCCCUAAGGAUAGAGAGGCAUGUUAAAACUGUAUAACCAACAGAACCAUUUAAAAGGAAGAAAAACAUCACCCAAGUUCCGUGUCUGAAUGAAGGCUGUCUUCUCAAAUGCUCCUCAUUACUCCAGAGCAGUUAUAUUUGGAUUAUAAUUAAAACGAGGCUUCUUUUUUUUC